Molecule: long non-coding RNA, 800 nt
Organism: Alnus glutinosa
Lineage: Eukaryota; Viridiplantae; Streptophyta; Magnoliopsida; Fagales; Betulaceae
Exons: 2
Source: RefSeq, a predicted model, not a curated record
AGUUAAAACAUGAAAUAAGAAACUUUCUAAAUAGAAAAAAUAUGGUUAUGAAAUGUGUGAGAAAACUUAUGUUGAUGAUCACAAAAUUGCAUAUCCUUAUUCUCUUUAGUGUGCAAGCCGAUAACCUUGCCCAAACCACAUUCACUCCGUCUUCGCCUCCCAUAUUGCCUCUUUAUUCCUUUGAACUUGAUAUUGGAGAAUUACAUUUGUGCCUUACAUUUGAAAUUGGUCAUUGUGAUAAAUUGAAAAGGACAUGGCCAUUUCCCGACUAUCUUUAUGAACUUUGUAUAUCUGAAGGUUUUGCAUUUUGCUUCAUUGAAACCCGAUCGUUAGAAAACCCAUUUAAUUUUCAUAUCCUUGCAAAUUGCCUUGAAGUCAAUUGCAAGCCAAAAUUGAGAAUUAAAGCUGGCCAUCGUCGAAGUGCCCUUUAUGUUCGUUGUUUAUUGGAAUGUUAUUAUCAGCAUGUCACCAACCGCAAUGAUGUCAUUUCUAGGCAGAAUCGUUGAGUUUCAACUUGGAUAAGGAAAUGAGGAGGAGAAGUAUCAGGAUUACUCAGAUCCUUAGGUUGAUCCUGUUGACAGUACUUGAGGCUAGCUUGCCUCCAUUUUGUGGACUGCUGUGUUCCAGUCCUUUAUUAUAUUAUUUUGAGAACGAUAUUUAUAUAAUUCUGUUGGUAUAAUAAUAAUACUCUAGUUAUUUUGGCUUGUAAAUUAUAUGUGCCUUGUGUGGCACAAAUACUAUCUUAUGUGUAAUUAUGCAGUUACACUUUAUAUAUCUAUUUUGAGGUAUUUCAGUUAGAA